UUCGUAGCUCAGUUGGUCAGAGCGCUGCGCUCACAUCGCAGAGGCCGUAGGUUCAAAUCCUGCCGAACC
RNAcentral lists this transfer RNA (69 nucleotides) under marine eukaryotic metagenome. It matches the Rfam family "tRNA". Rfam says of the family: Transfer RNA (tRNA) molecules are approximately 80 nucleotides in length. Their secondary structure includes four short double-helical elements and three loops (D, anti-codon, and T loops). The record is from RNAcentral.